Molecule: non-coding RNA, 176 nt
Filed under: Clostridium intestinale
Lineage: Bacteria; Bacillati; Bacillota; Clostridia; Eubacteriales; Clostridiaceae
Also listed under: 1 other name
Description: Lysine sequence
Rfam family: Lysine riboswitch aptamer
About the family: Riboswitches are metabolite binding domains within certain messenger RNAs that serve as precision sensors for their corresponding targets. Allosteric rearrangement of mRNA structure is mediated by ligand binding, and this results in modulation of gene expression. This family includes riboswitches that sense lysine in a number of genes involved in lysine metabolism, including lysC.
Source: RNAcentral
UUUAGAGAUAGAGGCGCAAGGUUUAAAAGUAUCUUCAUGGAGAUAAGCACGUAGAAGUGAAGAGAAAGGAAACAUUGCCGAAGUGUGUAGUUAAUGCUUUAAAACUAUACAACUGGUCUUAUAUAGAAUAUAUAUAAGAUUGUCACAAAUAAUGUUUGUGGAGAGCUAUCCAAUGG